AUCUGUACCCAAUUUUGCAUAGCCCAUGCAUGAAGCCUACAAAGGCCCAACAUAUAUUUUAGGCUCAUUGGCGCAAAAAAUCUGAUUCUAAAAAAACAAUUUCUUUUCUGUGUCUAAAAGAACAAUUUCUUUUCUAAGUAAAACAUCCCGUAGCCCCAGGUCCCAGAGUCAAAAGAAAAAACACACUCUCCUCUGCUCCUGUACGAUUCCCCACCCGGCUCCUCAUCCACUUCCGCCAUUUCCUCCGAUUUGCCGCCGGCGAAGGUGGUGGCGCUGGCGCAUGUGGCUGGGUGAGUACGUGGAUCUCGGCGAGGUCGUCGAGUCUGGCGACGCGGCCAUGGAUAUGGCCAAGGAGAGCGUGGGCUACACUGCUCAAAAAUUUAUUGGUCGGAGGCUUUGGAUGAUGGUGGCACAGAGGUAGUGAGGGAUCUCACGGAGUAGGGAACAGUAGCAAGACGUGAGCAGCUUCUGCUGGCGGAUGUUAGUUGUUGCCCUCCUGCUAUGCGACCUGCUACCAAACGUAGGUGUUACUGCAACCAUACAAGUUUUUGUGUAGGGGAAUGAUCUAGAAAUCUGAAUAAGUUUUUAUCAUUCCAUUGCUAAACAAUACUCAUACCACAACUUUCUGUGUGGAGAAGUGCUCGUAUACUUGCCCUCUGAAUUUUGCAAUAGAGAACAUAGUAAAGCAAACAUAUUAAAUUA
This is a non-coding RNA of Triticum urartu, 702 nucleotides long. NCBI's taxonomy places the organism in Eukaryota, Viridiplantae, Streptophyta, Magnoliopsida, Poales, Poaceae. The record is from RefSeq and is a predicted model, not a curated record.